CGGAAGGUUCCGACCUCAGUAAAGAGAGCUAACGUGUAUUCUUCUUUUUCUUAGGAAAGUAUUCCAUGCUACAUGUGCAAGAAACUUGGAAAACACUGAAAAGUAGAAAAAAUAGCAAGCAAAAGGAUCUCAGCUAAACGGGAAGCAUUUUUGAAAAGUGAUUGCACAAUUGAGAGUGAAAAUUACUGAGUCCUGAACAGGCAACUUACAUUCUAAUACCAGCUCUGUCUCCAUCCAGCCGACUGAAUAGUCGUGAUUAAGUUACUUGACUUCCUUGGAUAUCUAGAUCCUUAAAGUUAAAGAAUUAUACAAGAUAAUAAUAUUUUCUUCAAACUUUAGAAAAUGACUUUAUGAACCGCCUUAAGUUUGUAUGUUUUCAUAGCUUUCAAGAGCUUGUUUACACACUCAAUUCUAGAUUCUAGAUACUUUCUAGAAAAUAACUGACUUAACUCAUUCAAUUGAUAUAUUUGUUAGUUGUACUCCUACUCAUAUGCUUCAGUUAAUUAUAUAUGUUGAACAGGUAGGAAGCAGUGCUGUUUUUAUUUAUUUUAAUAUGUUAUUCAUACAUUUGAAGAAUUAUGUUCUUUCUGUAGGCAGCUGAAUUUUUUUUUUUUUUGA
This 618-nucleotide long non-coding RNA is filed under the name Homo sapiens (human). RNAcentral's name for it is "non-protein coding lnc-MTRF1-2:3". The record is from RNAcentral. Lineage: Eukaryota; Metazoa; Chordata; Mammalia; Primates; Hominidae.